CGGGGUGAGUAACGCGUGGGUAACCUGCCUUGUACAGGGGGAUAACAGUUGGAAACGGCUGCUAAUACCGCAUAAGCGCACGGCAUCGCAUGAUGCAGCGUGAAAAACUCCGGUGGUAUAAGAUGGACCCGCGUUGGAUUAGCUAGUUGGUGAGGUAACGGCCCACCAAGGCGACGAUCCAUAGUCGACCUGAGAGGGUGACCGGCCACAUUGGGACUGAGACACGGCCCAA
This 232-nucleotide ribosomal RNA is filed under the name uncultured bacterium. Its description in RNAcentral is "partial 16S ribosomal RNA". It matches the Rfam family "Bacterial small subunit ribosomal RNA", at positions 104 to 334 of the family's 1533-position model. The record is from RNAcentral.